GUGGCGUUGGCUGAAGUGGAAAUGGCUCCGGGUUGUGAUUCCGGAAAAUUUGGGUUCGAACCCCAACCGUCACCCCA
This 77-nucleotide transfer RNA is filed under the name Vibrio phage phiKT1024. RNAcentral describes it as "tRNA-His". It matches the Rfam family "tRNA". Rfam says of the family: Transfer RNA (tRNA) molecules are approximately 80 nucleotides in length. Their secondary structure includes four short double-helical elements and three loops (D, anti-codon, and T loops). The record is from RNAcentral. Lineage: Duplodnaviria; Heunggongvirae; Uroviricota; Caudoviricetes.